RNAcentral lists this ribosomal RNA (370 nucleotides) under uncultured organism. Its description in RNAcentral is "partial 16S ribosomal RNA". It matches the Rfam family "Bacterial small subunit ribosomal RNA", at positions 527 to 896 of the family's 1533-position model. The record is from RNAcentral.
GUAGGUGGCAAGCGUUGUCCGGAAUUAUUGGGCGUAAAGCGCGCGCAGGCGGUCCUUUAAGUCUGAUGUGAAGCCCACGGCUCAACCGUGGAGGGUCAUUGGAAACUGGGGGACUUGAGUACAGAAGAGGAAAGCGGAAUUCCACGUGUAGCGGUGAAAUGCGUAGAGAUGUGGAGGAACACCAGUGGCGAAGGCGGCUUUCUGGUCUGUAACUGACGCUGAGGCGCGAAAGCGUGGGGAGCAAACAGGAUUAGAUACCCUGGUAGUCACGCCGUAAACGAUGAGUGCUAAGUGUUAGGGGGUUUCCCGCCCCCUUAGUGCUGCAGCUAACGCAUUAAGCACUCCGCCUGGGGAUACGGCCGCAAGGCUG